Molecule: long non-coding RNA, 2189 nt
Organism: Papaver somniferum (opium poppy)
Lineage: Eukaryota; Viridiplantae; Streptophyta; Magnoliopsida; Ranunculales; Papaveraceae
Exons: 8
Source: RefSeq, a predicted model, not a curated record
CAGAGUUUUACGCUUGAAAGUUAGUGGGAAAGUGAGUUUACUGCUGUAGUUCGAGCCAUGGGUUCGCUGGCUUUGUUCCAAGGAGAAGUGGCUCAAGUUCAGGUUGCAGUUCAAGCACCAAUUCAGCUGAGGUGUUGCGCAGUUUACAAUGGGUUAAAGUUCGAAUAAAAUAAGGAAAGAUGGGUCCUUGCCUCAUACGAAUUUACAGGAUCUGGAAGAAGAAAUUAGGAGUUUGGGUUGCGUGGGAUUGCAGCAAGGGCAUUGAGCUACAAAACUGAAACUAGGGUUACAACAUAUCCCGAUACCCCCUGCUCACGACUGCUAUCAACACCAUCUCCAAAACCCUUCCAUCCACCAGUUUGCAUUCAUAUUUAUCACCUGCAUAUACAUCUCCAUCCACCUGCAUAUCCAUCUCCAACCCAUUACCACCUGCAUCUCAUUUUGUAUCAACAGAACCAUCUCCACCAGCAUACAUCCGUGUACCACCCUCCAUUCCAUCACCAGCACCUCCAUCCACAGUACCAUUAAGAUCAGUCUACAAGCCAAAGCAGCAACACAGCCACCACCAGAGCACUGUGCAGGCUUGAGUUCAAGACCAUCGACGACAAUAUCAAUUCGACAACAAUAUUCUCCAUACAGACACCAGUUCACAUCCAUCUACCAUCAGGCCAUUCGCAGGAAUUUUGAAAUUUCCUUAGAAGUUCUAUUCCCUGGGAUUCAAAGAAGGCGCUAAAUGCUCUAAGAACAACCUGUGGGUAAGGUAAAUUCAACCAAGAUAGUUCGACCAACUUUUCUGAAGUCUCCAUUUCCUAGUGCUAGUGCUUUUGAGAGCGCUGAGGGAUCGGAUGAUGUGGAUUUGGCUGACAAUUUUAAACUCAACUCUAGCUAUUUUCUUGCUAAUGGAUAUGCUGCAUUUUCCAAACUAUGCUUGGUCACAUGAGUGCCAUCGUGGAGCAAAAUCAUGUUUCUGCAGCCAGCAUGAUCCAUUCUAACAGUGUAUCUGCUGACCUGCGUGGUGUUCACCUUGAUCCGAUAGCAACUGACAUUAUUAGAAAAGAGCAUACGAAAGUUUUAUGCGCCUGAUAAUCAGUCCAAAUGGUAAACGAUGAUCUUCCUGUGGAUAUGCAUUAUUCUUAGUCUUGUUUGAAGCUGUAGUUGGUUGCAUUUAGUGGAAGAAGGUUCUGAGAUGAAAUGGUUAGUAAUGGACCGAAGAUAACUGGUGCUGUUGUUUUAUAGUUGCGAACAAGGGACUAAGAGAAAUGCUCGAAAACAAGACAGGAAGGAAACUAGGUCGAUGUUGUUGGGGGUUCUUGCGUGGACUGAACUUCAGUUCAGCUUGAGUAAAAUCAGGUCGAAGAAAGGAAGAUGGAGCUUAGAUAUUUGAGUUGGUUACUGACGCUGGUUAUCUUGUGCAGAGUCUGGGAAGUUCACGAGAUUGUGCAGGAAGCAGUGAUCGAUGGAGCAAAGAAGUUGCAGCCAUAUACCAGAUGGCUGUGCAUCAGGGAUUGAGCUGCCGACAGGAUAAUUGUCUAUAAUAUGAUGACAGGAUAAGAUCAUUGUUCAUGCCUUGGCGCCAUUAAGUCUGUCAAAUGCAGGGAGCAAUGAGUACUCAUAAAUAAUCCAACUCCCUUGCUCUCUUACCUCAAGAAGUUGAUACUCUUGGAACUCGUAGCUGGAUGAUAAGCAAGCAAAGGACCCGAAAGGUGCUAUUAAUCUCUCUGGUUCUCCUUAUGGAUAUUUUUCUCCUCCUAGUUGAGGAGGCUUAUACAACUCACCAAAUUAUGGACCAAAUGCUGGAGGAAAGUUUCAAAACAAUAAGUCUACUCGUUGGAUUCUUUACAUUGAGCAAGCGCCUACAAUAUGGUUGAACUUUGCUCUAUGUGGCUUGGUUGGAAUUAUUGCAGCAUACGAGGCAUGGAACCAACAUAAUUGCAGGCAUCAAUUUAGGUUUAGAAUCAACUACUUUUCCAGUUCUUGUCAUUAGUGUAGCCAUUAAUGUUGUUUCUUCUUUCUGGUUUGGUCGCACAUCACGCUGGUGGAGGAAACUGGAAUACCUACUGACGGAUGAAAGGUUGACUGCAGGUGUGUGAUAUCAAAUGCGGUUUCCGUUGACAAAAUGUAUCCAACAUAAAGACAAUCCUACACUAUUGCUAAUUUGUGCUGGUUUCAUCACAAUAUAUAUUCAUGGG